This is a long non-coding RNA of Trichoplusia ni (cabbage looper), 418 nucleotides long. RefSeq lists it as uncharacterized. The transcript has 4 exons. The record is from RefSeq and is a predicted model, not a curated record. NCBI's taxonomy places the organism in Eukaryota, Metazoa, Arthropoda, Insecta, Lepidoptera, Noctuidae.
GGAAAAAACCUGGCCAUGAAUCUGAUGAUGCACCACUCGAAGUUUCGUACCAAAGCAACAGGAACACAACUCAAAUUGAAGAGGAACCUGCAACUGAAAUUCUAAACGAAAGUGCCAAAAAGAAGAAGAAAAAAAUAAGAAGGGAUUGAAUUCGUCUGUAGUUGAAGAAAUCAGCUUAUUUGGACAAAAAGCUAACGCAGCUGACAAGUCAAACACUUCGAUCACAGAAGGCAGUGCUAAGAAGAAGAAGAAAUUGUUGGAAUCUCAAGUGGAGCAGGAAAAAGAGGGCGAUACAAACGUUUUAGUUCAAAAUGUGUCAAUAGGCAGUGCUAAAAAGCAGAAACAGAAAACAGCUGAUGAGAAUUCUGGAGUGGAAGCUACUGAAGGUAAACUACGUGAUAACCAACUCGCUGACCCU